UACGAAGGGGGCUAGCGUUGCUCGGAAUUACUGGGCGUAAAGCGCACGUAGGCGGCUUUCUAAGUCGGGGGUGAAAUCCUGGAGCUCAACUCCAGAACUGCCUUUGAUACUGAGGAUCUUGAGUUCGGGAGAGGUGAGUGGAACUGCGAGUGUAGAGGUGAAAUUCGUAGAUAUUCGCAAGAACACCAGUGGCGAAGGCGGCUCACUGGCCCGGUACUGACGCUGAGGUGCGAAAGCGUGGGGAGCAAACAGG
This 253-nucleotide ribosomal RNA is filed under the name uncultured bacterium. Its description in RNAcentral is "partial 16S ribosomal RNA". It matches the Rfam family "Bacterial small subunit ribosomal RNA", at positions 524 to 776 of the family's 1533-position model. The record is from RNAcentral.